AACCUUCUGAAUUUUUUUUUUGUACUGAAAGAGGAAAAUAUUAUUCAGAUAGAAAAUCAAAUUACAUCAUUUUAGGCCAAGGUAAGCCUAACUUAUCCACAAAUAAAAUAGAACUAAUAUCAGUAGGAGGAUUAUCAAAAAUAUGUAAUCCUAAGGGACGGCCAUCAUGAUUUGCAACCAAUCAAUUUACGCUUUUAUUGGCUUUCACGAAAGAUGUGAGUGAUAGAACAUUUCCAAUCCCGUUGAAACAAUUCCUUAAUGAGUCGCAACAGAUUUGCUUUUGGGUUCAAGGAAGAGCAUGGUUUUGAUAAACUUUGUAUGGCAAAUAAGGAAUCAGUUUCAACUUGAAUAUGUCUAAAUCCUCUGUUACAACAAAGUGUG
This 381-nucleotide long non-coding RNA is filed under the name Theobroma cacao (cacao). RNAcentral's name for it is "long non-coding RNA (TCAC_LNC005177)". Lineage: Eukaryota; Viridiplantae; Streptophyta; Magnoliopsida; Malvales; Malvaceae. The record is from RNAcentral.